Molecule: ribosomal RNA, 612 nt
Filed under: Candida tropicalis
Lineage: Eukaryota; Fungi; Ascomycota; Pichiomycetes; Serinales; Debaryomycetaceae
Description: eukaryotic LSU rRNA
Rfam family: Eukaryotic large subunit ribosomal RNA
Source: RNAcentral
CAUAUCAAUAAGCGGAGGAAAAGAAACCAACAGGGAUUGCCUUAGUAGCGGCGAGUGAAGCGGCAAAAGCUCAAAUUUGAAAUCUGGCUCUUUCAGAGUCCGAGUUGUAAUUUGAAGAAGGUAUCUUUGGGUCUGGCUCUUGUCUAUGUUUCUUGGAACAGAACGUCACAGAGGGUGAGAAUCCCGUGCGAUGAGAUGAUCCAGGCCUAUGUAAAGUUCCUUCGAAGAGUCGAGUUGUUUGGGAAUGCAGCUCUAAGUGGGUGGUAAAUUCCAUCUAAAGCUAAAUAUUGGCGAGAGACCGAUAGCGAACAAGUACAGUGAUGGAAAGAUGAAAAGAACUUUGAAAAGAGAGUGAAAAAGUACGUGAAAUUGUUGAAAGGGAAGGGCUUGAGAUCAGACUUGGUAUUUUGUAUGUUACUUCUUCGGGGGUGGCCUCUACAGUUUAUCGGGCCAGCAUCAGUUUGGGCGGUAGGAGAAUUGCGUUGGAAUGUGGCACGGCUUCGGUUGUGUGUUAUAGCCUUCGUCGAUACUGCCAGCCUAGACUGAGGACUGCGGUUUAUACCUAGGAUGUUGGCAUAAUGAUCUUAAGUCGCCCGUCUUGAAACACGGACC